CCUACGGGUGGCAGCCGUGGGGAAUAUUGCACCAUGGGGGGAACCCUGAUGCAGCAACGCCGCGUGGGUGAAGAAGUACUUCGGUAUGUAAAGCCCUUUCAGCAGGGAAGAAAAUGACGGUACCUUACCAAGAAGCCCCGGCUAACUACGUGCCAGCAGCCGCUGUAAUACGUAGGGGGCAAGCGUUAUCCGGAUGUACUGGGUGUAAAGGGAGCGUAGACGGCAGUGAACGUCUGGAGUGAAAGCUAGUGGCUCAACCACGGGACUGCUUUUGACACUGUGUUGCUGGAGUGCAGGAGGGGCAAGCGGAAUUCCUGGUGUAGCGGUGAAAUGCGUAGAUAUUAGGAGGAACACCGGUGGCGAAGGCGGCUUACUGGACUGUAACUGACGUUGAGGCUCGAAGGCGUGGGGAGCAAACAGGAUUAGAUACCCCUGUAGUC
RNAcentral lists this ribosomal RNA (440 nucleotides) under uncultured bacterium. RNAcentral's name for it is "partial 16S ribosomal RNA". It matches the Rfam family "Bacterial small subunit ribosomal RNA", at positions 338 to 795 of the family's 1533-position model. The record is from RNAcentral.